GCCCUCGUGGUGAAAUGGCAAACACGGUAGGUUUAGGACCUACUGCCGAAAGGUUUGGAGGUUCAAGUCCUCCCGAGGGCA
This 81-nucleotide transfer RNA is filed under the name Candidatus Wildermuthbacteria bacterium GWA1_49_26. Its description in RNAcentral is "tRNA-Leu". It matches the Rfam family "tRNA". From Rfam's summary of the family: Transfer RNA (tRNA) molecules are approximately 80 nucleotides in length. Their secondary structure includes four short double-helical elements and three loops (D, anti-codon, and T loops). Further hydrogen bonds mediate the characteristic L-shaped molecular structure. tRNAs have two regions of fundamental functional importance: the anti-codon, which is responsible for specific mRNA codon recognition, and the 3' end, to which the tRNAs corresponding amino acid is attached (by aminoacyl-tRNA synthetases). tRNAs cope with the degeneracy of the genetic code in two manners: having more than one tRNA (with a specific anti-codon) for a particular amino acid; and 'wobble' base-pairing, i.e. permitting non-standard base-pairing at the 3rd anti-codon position. RNAcentral also lists the same sequence under 8 other names. Lineage: Bacteria; Candidatus Wildermuthiibacteriota. The record is from RNAcentral.